This 323-nucleotide ribosomal RNA is filed under the name uncultured soil bacterium. RNAcentral's name for it is "bacterial SSU rRNA". It matches the Rfam family "Bacterial small subunit ribosomal RNA", at positions 26 to 345 of the family's 1533-position model. The record is from RNAcentral.
AGAUUGAACGCUGGCGGCAGGCCUAACACAUGCAAGUCGAGCGGCAGCACGGGUACUUGUACCUGGUGGCGAGCGGCGGACGGGUGAGUAAUGCCUAGGAAUCUGCCUGGUAGUGGGGGGAUAACGCUCGGAAACGGACGCUAAUACCGCAUACGUCCUACGGGAGAAAGCAGGGGACCUUCGGGCCUUGCGCUAUCAGAUGAGCCUAGGUCGGAUUAGCUAGUUGGUGAGGUAAUGGCUCACCAAGGCGACGAUCCGUAACUGGUCUGAGAGGUAUGAUCAGUCACACUGGAACUGAGUACACGGUCCAGACUCCGUACGGG